UUUGAAUAUUCGAAUCAAUUUAUCCGCUUCGGAGCCUCCAUUCUAUUUUCUACAAUUGUUGUUCCGAGUCUGCUUGAGUGAAGGCCUCUGGUUCUUUCAUGCAUACAGUGGAUUCACAAUUUUGAGGAGUCGCCAUGGACAGAAGAUGGCAGAAGCUCUGUAAAUGUGCACCCUAUUCAUAUGUCGAUACCCCAUAAGUUGAGGCUCUGUAGAUUUGAUACUCCAAGCAUGUACAGAAACGGUUUUAGGUUCGGGAGAGGCAGGGAGGGGCGAUGUGAGAAAGAUCUAUUCUAUUAGGAUUUCUCCAUUUUCAACUACUUCCUUUGGUUUGUCUCUAUUGAUGAGAAUUGAGCUGGUGGACAAAAAGUGUGACAGAACAGUUUGUUCUGUAUAUUGGGGUUUGUUCUGUGGAUUCUUUGUCAAGUUUGUGAAGUUCAUCUGUUCUAAACAGAUAAAAAUGCUGAAUACAGGCAGUUGGAGAUGGCUAUGAUGGCUACUUUCAUUCAGGAUCUGGAGAAAAUAAAAGAAAAAUGUGUUUACAAUUGGAUUUUAUGACUGCAAGGGUGGCUGAAUUUGAAAUUUCCUCAAAUAAUUCUGAAUGGACAGAAUUUACUCCUCUUCGGUGGUAUGCAAUUACUCUUUACCCUUUCUUUUCAAAGUUCAUCCUUACUCCUGUUUCAAGCCUGUUUGAACUUCUAGAUCCGAAAGUGGUAAGACUAGUUUUCUUCCAUAAUAACCUGAUUAAAGCGAUCAAGUUACUGAGUAAUUGUAGCUCUGUUCGGGCCCAAGAGUCUCUAAAUAAUAUACUGCUGGACUUGAAUACUCCCUAAUACUGGAUGACAAGAUUGCACUGUUGAAGCAUAGGCUCAACUUGAUUUACUUUUAUGUGGACAAAGAAGAAAAUAAAGAGAAGUUAUAUCAUAGGUUUACUUCUAUGAAAUAGAUUUUGCACCAGUCCUGAAGACAAUAUACACUAUUAGUCAUUGGUUUGAAGUGAGGAUUUUCUGUCGAGCAGUUUCAUUUUGGUAUCUCUACAGGUUUCAGACUGCAAAUACAUAAUGCACCACCAUUCAGAACUUUUUGUCGUGGAGAGUGUGGUUGAUGAUCUCUUUGCACUGUUGCAGCAGAGAACACCCAAUUUUGCACAGACCCAAAAACUUUUCUUGCAUGAACUCCUUGCGGCUUCUGAUAGCUACAUGGCUGACUGACUGCAUGCUUGUUGCAAGGAUAUAUUUAUGGAGUAGACAGCAGGAGCAUGCGACUGCCUGGGAGAGCCUGUGACAGUUUUAGAAGGAACAUUGAUUACUUAAGAUAACUUAAUAGCAUUCAAUUCACAUGCAAACUUAUAUCCCUAUUUUGUGCUUUUUUUGGUCUUUGUCUAAUGUGCAUUCGGAUCUGAUUUGCUGUAAUGAAUGUGGCUGCAUAAACUUUUUUGUUUCCGUAUGGAUUUCUGUUGGUUGCAUGUAAUGAGGAUAGAUCUCAAUGUAUCAUGUAUGGUGGGGUUUGUGUAUAGUGUUCUGUGCAGUUGGUAGUUAAAGAGACUGACAGGGCAAUAUCUCUGUUUUGGACUGCAAUUAAUGUACUUGGCAGUGUAGAUAGUGUUACUGAGGAAUUAUUGCUCAGGACAACAUACCGCUGGAAACUGUUCAUCUCAAGUAGUAUUUCACUGACUGACCAGAGGUCCAGAUUGCAUGCAAUGAAAAACGAACCGACCCUGCUAGAUCUUAUUGGAGGAAAUUUCAAUUUUUUAUAGAAAAAUAAGCAACAAGAUUACUUGGGAACUUGGCUUGGACAUAUAUGCAACAGUUCAACUGCAUUGCUCCAGAGGCUGAUAUCGCAUUGCAUUUGAGAGCUCACCGAGUGGGAGUAUGUUUAUCAAUUCUUGCUAGCCCAUUGCCAGACAGGGAUGCAGGAAACAUGGCUCAAAGAUGACUCUCCAAGAUUAGAUAGCAAGGCCAGUUCUCUGAUCAUUACUUUUUUGGGCAUUCAAAGGAAACGGAACCGAGCUUGCCAGAUCUCAGGGGAAGGAAUUUUUACUUUCUAUAGAACAAGAGGCUACAGGAUUACUUGACAACUUGGGUUGGCCAUAUAUGCAACAAUCCAAUUAUAUUGCUGCAGAGGGUGUAUACAGAUGUGUUGCAGGAUUUUGGAAAAUAUCAUUACCAAGCUUCAAGGAGGAAUUGAAGGAGGUCAGCAAGCUUCGUCAUUCAAAUUUAGGUUCCCCUCUUGCACAUUCAUUGCUUGCUUUUUCUUUUCAAAGAAAAUCUUCUUCUUGUCUCUUUCAAAAUUUUGCACAUAAGAAAGUUUGUAUUUUAAUUUUAUUUUUUAAAAGAAAUCUCUUUUAUCCA
Cryptomeria japonica (Japanese cedar) is the source of this 2348-nucleotide long non-coding RNA. RefSeq lists it as uncharacterized. The record is from RefSeq and is a predicted model, not a curated record. Lineage: Eukaryota; Viridiplantae; Streptophyta; Pinopsida; Cupressales; Cupressaceae. The transcript has 4 exons.